RNAcentral lists this ribosomal RNA (497 nucleotides) under uncultured bacterium. RNAcentral describes it as "partial 16S ribosomal RNA". It matches the Rfam family "Bacterial small subunit ribosomal RNA", at positions 28 to 507 of the family's 1533-position model. The record is from RNAcentral.
GAUGAACGCUGGCGGCGUGCCUAAUACAUGCAAGUCGAGCGAACAGAUGAGGAGCUUGCUCCUCUGACGUUAGCGGCGGACGGGUGAGUAACACGUGGAUAACCUACCUAUAAGACUGGGAUAACUUCGGGAAACCGGGGCUAAUACCGGAUAAUAUAUUGAACCGCAUGGUUCAAUAGUGAAAGACGGUUUUGCUGUCACUUAUAGAUGGAUCCGCGCCGCAUUAGCUAGUUGGUAAGGUAACGGCUUACCAAGGCGACGAUGCGUAGCCGACCUGAGAGGGUGAUCGGCCACACUGGAACUGAGACACGGUCCAGACUCCUACGGGAGGCAGCAGUAGGGAAUCUUCCGCAAUGGGCGAAAGCCUGACGGAGCAACGCCGCGUGAGUGAUGAAGGUCUUCGGAUCGUAAAACUCUGUUAUUAGGGAAGAACAAAUGUGCAAGUAACUAUGCACGUCUUGACGGUACCUAAUCAGAAAGCCACGGCUAACUACGUG